This 375-nucleotide ribosomal RNA is filed under the name Dampetrus australis. Its description in RNAcentral is "partial large subunit ribosomal RNA". It matches the Rfam family "Bacterial large subunit ribosomal RNA", at positions 1833 to 2600 of the family's 2925-position model. Lineage: Eukaryota; Metazoa; Arthropoda; Arachnida; Opiliones; Assamiidae. The record is from RNAcentral.
GUUACUUGAUGUAUAAGUAAUCUCGCCUGCUCAGUGUUAAAUAGCUGCAGUAUACUGACUGUACAAAGGUAGCAUAAUCAAUUGCCUUUUAAUUGGAGGCUGGAAUGAACGGUGGAACAGGGGGAGAGUUUAUAUGACUUGAAUUUAAAUUAAUUGUAAAAGCGCAAUUAUAACCCUCUGGGACGAGAAGACCCUAGAAGCUAAAAGAGUCUGUUGGUUGGGGCGACUAAUGAAUUUGUUUAACUUUUAAUAAGUUACUCUAGGGAUAACAGCGUAAUUAAAACUAAGAGUUCUAAUUUGAGUUUUAGAUUGCGACCUCGAUGUUGAAUUAAAAGGUGAAGGAGCUUUAGUCUGUUCGACUAUUAAAUAUUUACA